Molecule: long non-coding RNA, 1231 nt
Filed under: Mus musculus (house mouse)
Lineage: Eukaryota; Metazoa; Chordata; Mammalia; Rodentia; Muridae
Description: RIKEN cDNA G630018N14 gene
Source: RNAcentral
GAGAGAUCACAUGUCCCAGCUGAUGCGCAGAUUCUUCCCCACUGAAAUGGACGUUUCUGCCAAAGUCAAUGAGUAAAACUGACAGUGCGGAUGACUAACCUCCAGCCCAGAGCCUUUGGCAGCUCACACCUUUGUGCAAAGCACGAUCCAGUAGUUCCCUUUGGUUCUUUAUCAGCAUCUAUUUCUCUGAUGAGCUUGAGGAACUGUUAUUAUUAGCUAUAGGUACACGCCUUUAUAUCCUAGAACAACACCAAAAUAUCAUUUUAAGUUGAUUCUUCUCAAACAAUGACCAUCUGUAUAAAAUACGAAUGUCUGACCAAGGAAAUAUGUGUGUUUUUUGGAUAAUACAUGCAUGUUUUGGAGACACAAUUUUAAAAGUUACACAGAUUGGUCCCGAGGAUUCACAGACUGGUCUAAGGCUCUGGACUCCACCUUGAUUCACCAAUUUGCCUAAAAUAUGCUACAAAAGAAACUUCUGUGUUGCAGAAGGCUUCAAGGUGCUGUUCAUGUUUUCAGAAUGAUCUGCGACAAUAUCAGGUUUGAUUGUGACCAUCCUAUAUCAGAUCUCUGAAACCUUCAGGAGUUGAGGCCUGGCUAGUGCUUGGCUAGGGAUGGGCCUGUGAGGAUGACAGCGUCCCUGUUCCUGCUGUGUUCUCUGCUUCCCGUCGGCUGGGAUGUGAACAACCUCUGCUAUCCCUCUCCACCAUAAACUGUGCUACCACAGUCGCUUCCCUUCAGCGAUGGGCUCUGAAACAGUGGUCCUGGCAGAGCAUCCCAGAAGACAACACUUUAUUGUCUGGAAACAGGCCUGCAUAGCCCAGAGCAACAGGCCCAGUGCUGUGGACAAAGCUUUGAGCUGGCCAGAAGGUUCAUGUGCUGGUGGCUUAGUCUCCACUGGAACACUGCAGAAAGCUGGAAGGACGUUAACAGUAUGAGGCAAGAAGUGGGUCUGGCUUGUUCACAUCUGUCGAGACACUGGUAUACAAGAAUGCCCUCGGUGUUUAAUUGCAGAAUAAGUCAAAGGGUGCCAGUUCAGUGGAGUAAAGAGAAAAAGAUUGGCUGAAGUCAUAAGCAACACAGCUGUGCUGGAGAAAAGUGUAAGCUUCGAGACUGAUCUUCAAGAUGCUUUCAAUUAAAUAUUAAGUAAUAGUGUGGCUUGAACAAUUGUAUGUAAAAAAAUUAGGAUAACUUUAGUUAAUUGAAUAGUAUUAAAAAUUAUAGGUAUAUUUUC